ACUAAUCAUAAGUUCAUAACCAAAGAAUCUAUACAAGGGUGUGUGCCUUAUCCUCUCUCUCUCUCUCUCUCAGACCCAAAAACAAAAAAAAAAUCCCAAAACAAGCAGAGACACCCUCCUCCCUCGAAUCAAAUUACAAAGAAAUGGAGAACAACCAGCAGGCCCAAUCCUCCCCAUACCCACCACAGCAACCCUUUCACCAUCUUCUGCAGCAGCAACAGCAGCAGCUUCAGAUGUUUUGGUCCUACCAACGCCAAGAGAUCGAGCAGGUGAACGACUUCAAGAACCACCAACUGCCUCUGGCCCGCAUCAAGAAGAUUAUGAAGGCGGAUGAGGAUGUGCGGAUGAUCUCGGCGGAGGCCCCAAUCCUCUUCGCCAAGGCCUGCGAGCUCUUCAUUCUGGAGCUGACGAUAAGGUCGUGGUUGCACGCGGAGGAGAACAAGAGGAGGACGCUGCAGAAGAAUGAUAUCGCCGCGGCGAUUACUAGGACGGAUAUAUUUGAUUUUUUGGUGGAUAUUGUGCCGAGGGAUGAGAUCAAGGACGAGGGGGGGUUGGGGAUGGUAGGAUCGACGGCCAGUGGGGUGCCGUACUAUUAUCCGCCGAUGGGGCAGCCCGCGCCGGGGGUAAUGAUGGGAAGGCCGGCGGUUCCGGGGGUGGAUCCGGGGGUGUACGUGCAGCCGCCGUCGCAGGCGUGGCAGUCGGUGUGGCAGACGGCAGAGGAUGGGUCGUACGGGAGCGGAGGGAGCAGUGGACAGGGGAAUCUUGAUGGCCAAGGGUGAUGUUGUUUUCAUCUCUCUGUUGUACCAGAAUUGCAAGCACCUGUAAGAAUAUUGACAUUUUAAGCAAACGCCCAUUGUGGAUGUUGUGGUGCUUCCCAGCAUGAUGGAAACUAUCGAGCUCGUGGACAGAACUUGGAUUUUCCUUGGCUAUGAAUCAUAGGAGCACUUGCUCUGUUAUUAUUUGUGAAAACUGGUUGGUUUUUAAUGUAAUGGCUUCAAUUAGAAACUUGUUAAAAACCGUGAUUUGGACCAGUGCAGUGAUAUGACUCAACUAAUCCUAUGUGCAGUUCUAAAUGUAAGGUCCAUGUUUUUCAUUUUAACUGAAUGAUUCUAGUUAUCUGAAUAUAUUCUCAUAUUACUUGUCA
RNA transcript from Vitis vinifera (wine grape), 1144 nucleotides. It is a transcript of the gene named nuclear transcription factor Y subunit C-1, with no coding region annotated. The transcript has 3 exons. NCBI's taxonomy places the organism in Eukaryota, Viridiplantae, Streptophyta, Magnoliopsida, Vitales, Vitaceae. The record is from RefSeq and is a predicted model, not a curated record.